UACGGAGGGGGCGAGCGUUAUUCGGAAUUAUUGGGCGUAAAGGGCGCGUAGGCGGCUUGGCAAGUCAAAGGUGAAAUCCCUCGGCUCAACUGAGGAACUGCCUUUGAAACUGCCUGGCUUGAGGCCGGGAGGGGGUAGCGGAAUUCCCAGUGUAGCGGUGAAAUGCGUAGAUAUUGGGAGGAACACCAGUGGCGAAGGCGGCUACCUGGACCGGAACUGACGCUGAUGCGCGAAAGCGUGGGGAGCAAACAGG
This 253-nucleotide ribosomal RNA is filed under the name uncultured bacterium. RNAcentral's name for it is "partial 16S ribosomal RNA". It matches the Rfam family "Bacterial small subunit ribosomal RNA", at positions 524 to 776 of the family's 1533-position model. The record is from RNAcentral.